RNAcentral lists this unclassified non-coding RNA (2366 nucleotides) under Hevea brasiliensis (rubber tree). Lineage: Eukaryota; Viridiplantae; Streptophyta; Magnoliopsida; Malpighiales; Euphorbiaceae. The record is from RNAcentral.
GGGGAGAGGAAAUGCUGCUAGUUAUAAUUCAAACAUAAAGAAAUCUACCUCAGAGGAAAUCUCCCUGUUUUUAUGAUGAAGCAAACCCAAAGAAACAGGAACACUGGGCAAUUUCUGUUCAGGCUGAAUCCUCCACUCCUUGCAGACAGUAUUUCAUUGUGCAAGAAUACAUACGAAAAAUAUUUCCACUUCCUAUUCCAACUUGCAGAGUAAAACAGAAGGAGUUGAGAAGCUAACCAAACGAAAAGCAAGAGUGCAAUUGCAAUCUGACUGCUGUCCAUAACCCACGUAUUUAAUACCCAAGUCAAGGAGCAAUUGAUAAUAAAAGCCCAAACUCCAUAAUAAAGAUUCUAACAGUCUCUCUUUGAGUUUUUCUGUAAUUCCUAAAGACUUGAUAAAGUUACAGAACAUAGUCGGGGUUGUUGCAUCAUCAAGCACAUAAAAGGCCACAAAAGAAAGGUGUAAGACCAACCAACAAAACAAAAGGAAUGCACUCAAUUUGUCUGCAUUGCUUCUGAGUGAUACUUCUCCAGAUCAGCAUCAAGAUCUUCUGCAGAUACCUUUUCAGCAUGGCCCCUUCCACGUCCACGACCCCUUCCAAAUCCACGGCCACUGCCACCACGUGCCCGCCCCAUCGCACCACCUCUUCCUUGUCCCCUAAAAAAGAAGGCAGGGAAAAUUACUCAAACACACUGUAACAAAACCUUUGACAAACACUGCUUUGUAAACAAUUACUACAUAACUAAAUGCAAACCUAUCAAUAAGAAUUUGUAAGAGAGUAUAAGCAAGCCAAACCUAGGACAGAUAGCUAUUGUAUUACCCACAAGACUAAACCUUUUCUAGGUAAGUAUACAGACCCAAACAAAUCAGUGUCACAAGCAGCAUCGCAUCGUAUAAAUAAAGGUACUUUUGCCACACAAAGGAUGAAAAAAUCAAUAUGAUACAUAGAUUGUUUAAACCCAAUAUUAUUGUUGAAAGACACGCACAUAAAAGGCAUACAAUAAUCAACACAUCAAAAUAUAUUUCACAAGCAAAUAAAUGUAACAAUAUCAAAUUUAGAACCACAUACACAAUAUGUCAAGAUUUGACUAAAAAUUAGAAAACAGUUUACAUUUUUUUUAAAGAAAAAGCAAAAUUUCAAAUUCUAAGAAAAUUCACUACCAAAAAAGAGAUAUAGUUGCAUAACUGACAGCAGCAGUAUUAAUAAUCAUUGAAUAGUUCAAAUCAGAAAUCAACUGCAAACAUAUUCAAGAACCAUAGUUUGGCAAUCACAUGCAAAUCACUUUUGAGGUCAUUCAACUACUUUAAACAAAACCAUAAUUUCUCCAUGAGACUUCAGCACAUCCUUCUUAGGAGCAAACUUUCGUUGAACUGUAAGAUUUCAUCUCUAGAACAAUUAUAAUGAUUCUUCACUUUCUAUCCUAGAUAACAAAAUCUAACUAAACCUUUUACAACAAAUAAAUGCUAUUCAAAACCCAAUUUCUAAACCUGCUGAAACUUAUUUAUCAAGAUCUAAGUGAUAAUCAAUAACAAAAUUCAUUAUGGGUAGCCGUGCAAGAAACAUAAUAAAUUGGCUACUUUUCAAACCAUGAAUCACAAUUAGAAAGUGCAGGAAGUAAAACAAAAGGAAGCACAAGGCAAACCCUCUAGGAGCUCCAUUUGAAUUUCCAAAUGUGCCAUUAGCAGCUGGAGGUACACCAGGAGUAGCAAUAUUUGUUCCCACAAUCUCUAUCUUCAUUGGUUUCCCAUCAAGCUGAACAUUGUUGUAUCUCUUCACAGCAGCCAAGGCAUCUGUUCGCCGAGAGAAGACUACUUCUGCCGUUCCCUUCGAUCUCCCACUCCUAUCAUAAUGGAUUGAGUACCGCUUCAAAUCGCCAACUUCGGAAAACAAUUCCUUAACAUCCUCAUUGGAGACACCAUAAUCUAGAUUAGAAAUGUAAAGCUUGGUUCCAGUCUCUAUAGCAGAGGCCCGACCUGCUUGCCCCGAGUAACCCAUACCCUGAUCCGUAAACAUGUCGUGCUGCCACGCCGUUUCAGGCGCCUUAGCGGUGGUAUAGGGCGCAGCUCGAUUAGCACCACGGUUGGCCAAACGGCGAGCAGGUCCGGGUCCGGAAGCCCUGCCGCGACCUCUUGCGUUACCAGAUCCAGACUUUUUAUUGCUCUUGAUGAUAUCGUCAAGGGACAUAUCCAAAGCGCUAGACAUUUUUUGGUCAAAAUUUGUAUAAUUUACUAAACAGAUUAGAUAAAAACAAAAUACUGUAAAGCAGGAAGAGAAAGAAAUCAGAUGAUGAAAGAAGAGGCCAGAGGAGGAGGAAGAUAGGGUUUUCGUCAAGGAAUAGAGCCGCAAUUGGAAUCGUAGCAUGGGU